Molecule: RNA transcript, 2004 nt
Organism: Phalaenopsis equestris
Lineage: Eukaryota; Viridiplantae; Streptophyta; Magnoliopsida; Asparagales; Orchidaceae
Exons: 11
Source: RefSeq, a predicted model, not a curated record
AACGCACCAUGAUGUAAAAAAAUUAUUGCAUACAGAUCGGUAACCGAUAUAGACCAUAGACCACCGUGAUCUUAGCUCCGACAUUCGUUCUUACCAUAUAGCUGAAAAGUCGUUUAUGCCAUUCUCUGUUAUAGUUAAAGGUUGCGCCAAUGUUUUCCCUCUUCUUUCCAAUGGCAGUAUCUUCCUGCUGUUGGAUGAAUUUGGGAGGUGUCUGCAGCCUUCCAUCGUGUCCCAACUCCUUUAGAUAUCCCAAUCUUCCUCGGCUCCGCUUCAGUUGCUCCGCUUUUCCCAUUUCUAAGUAUCAGAGGCCAUAUACGACGGUAAUGGUGGUUCCGACGGGGGUGGGGGCUACUAUUGGUGGCUACGCCGGUGAUGCUUUGCCAGUUGCACGAACUCUGGCUUCGGUGGCCGAUUGCCUCAUCUCGCAUCCCAAUGUUCUGAAUGCAGCAAUGCUGUAUUGGCCAAUGCCAAAUACGCUCUACGUAGAGGGAUAUGCACUUGAUAGGUUUGCUGAAGGAAACUGGGCUCUUCAACCUGUUCACCAUAACAAGAUAGGUCUGGUUCUUGAUGCUGGAAUGGAGGAAGAGCUGCAGAUUCGUCAUCGACAAGUUGCGGAUGCAUCAAGGGCUUCAUUAGGCUUGCCGGUCCUGGAAUAUAUUGUCACCGACUUUCCUUUGGAGGUUGAAAAAUGGGUCAACCCCAAGAGUGGGCAGUCAACGGGGAGGAUUAAGAACCCUGAUUCUUUACUUAGGGCGGUUGAUAUUUUAGUCAAUCGUUCACAUGUAAAUGCCGUAGCUAUUGUUGGGCGUUUUCCAGAUGAUGACUUAGACGAAAUGGAAGAUUAUCGGCAAGGAAAGGGCAUAGAUUCUUUGGCUGGAGUUGAGGCGGUUAUUAGCCAUCUUAUUGUGGAAAAGUUUCAGAUUCCUUGUGCCCAUUCACCUGCAAUAUUACCUGCUCCUCUCUGCUCAUCACUGUCCCCAAAGUCUGCUGCAGAAGAGCUAGGAUAUACCUUCCUGCCUUGUGUUCUUUCUGGACUGAGUAAAGCGCCUCAAUAUUUAGUAGACUGGCAAGGUUCCUGUAAUGAUGGCUGUAUAGUCACUGGUGAUAUUGACAGUGUAAUUCUACCUAUUGAUGCUUGUGGGGGUGAUGCUGCUCUAGCUUUUGCCAGGAGCAGCAGAAGAAACAAGCCCCUCUUAGUAGCUGUUGAGGAGAAUGAAACGGUACUUGAUGACACUCCUGAGAAGCUUGGAAUUCAAGCGGUUAGGGUAAAAAAUUACUGGGAAGCUGUGGGAGUUAUCGCGGCACAUAAGGCGGGAGUGGAUCCGAAUGCUCUCAGGAGAGAAGGAAUUGAUAGAAUUAACUGACAAAGAGAAGUGAAGUGAUUACAUUGCAACUAGUCAUGACAAACUGAAUGAAGAAUAGAAAGAACGGAAGAAAAAGAGAGCAAACGCAAGAUCCCAUGGGCAAAUCUUCAUAAUAAUCAGAACGAUGCAUAGCGGGCAUAAAAGAGGAUUCUGAUUUUAAGAGACUUGGUAUGGAAUAAGUGAGUGGAAUCCAUAACCCAGCAGCUCAAAUAACCCUCAAAAACCCAUUUUUGGAGAGUAAGGAGCUCUACCGCAGCCAAACAAAACCUCAAAACCCUCUUGCAAUAAGAGGUAAAAGAGCUAUGAAGGAGAAUCGAAUACCUAAAGCUCUCAGAAAAUUUAACAGCUUAAUAUACUUCGCUCAUGAAUAUGCGCUGCUGCUAGCAGAUGGAGCUACAACCUGCUGGGAAGCUAGUUUUAUAGAACAUAUCUGAGUAAGUUUUUUGUUUAUUUUUAAUAUUAAUCUGUAUAAUUAAAUAAAUAUAUAUAAAAAUAUACAUAUAUAUUUACGGAAGGCAGUUAAAUUCUUACUUUAACGUCUUUUCACGGCUUUAUUGUAAGCUGAGCGGGGUGCUGUUUGAUUCUCUCGCAUCGUGAUUGCACGUGAUUUAACAGUAAGAUGUCUGGAGAUGCAAAUCCC